UUCACCAAGCCGACGAUCAGUAGCNUGGUCUGAGAGGAUGAUCAAGCCACAUUGGGGACUGAGACACGGCCCAAACUCUACGGGAGGCACAGUGGGGAAUAUUGGACAAAUGGGCGCAAGCCUGAUCCAGCCAUGCCGCGUGUGUGAAGAAGGCCUUCGGGUUGUAAAGCACUUUUGUCCGGAAAGAAAUCCUUGGUUCUAAUAUAACCGGGGGAUGACGGUACCGGAAGAAUAAGCACCGGCUAACUACGUGCCAGCAGCCGCGGUAAUACGUAGGGUGCGAGCGUUAAUCGGAAUUACUGGGCGUAAAGCGUGCGCAGGCGGUUUGCUAAGACCGAUGUGAAAUCCCCGGGCUCAACCUGGGAACUGCAUUGGUGACUGGCAGGCUAGAGUAUGGCAGAGGGGGGUAGAAUUCCACGUGUAGCAGUGAAAUGCGUAGAGAUGUGGAGGAAUACCGAUGGCGAAGGCAGCCCCCUGGGCCAAUACUGACGCUCAUGCACGAAAGCGUGGGGAGCAAACAGGAUUAGAUACCUGGUAGUCCACGCCCUAAACGAUGUCAACUAGUUGUUGGGGAUUCAUCUUCCUUAGUAACGUAGCU
RNAcentral lists this ribosomal RNA (598 nucleotides) under uncultured bacterium. RNAcentral describes it as "bacterial SSU rRNA". It matches the Rfam family "Bacterial small subunit ribosomal RNA", at positions 264 to 853 of the family's 1533-position model. The record is from RNAcentral.